GACGAACGCUGGCGGCGUGCCUAACACAUGCAAGUCGAACGGAACUUACCGAAUGAAGCUUUCGGGUGGAUUUUGAUAAGUUUAGUGGCGGACGGGUGAGUAACGCGUGAGUAACCUGCCUUCAAGAGGGGAAUAACGUUCUGAAAAGAACGCUAAUACCGCAUAACAUACGGAUGUCGCAUGGCAACCGUAUCAAAGAUUUUAUCGCUUGAAGAUGGACUCGCGUCCGAUUAGCUUGUUGGCGGGGUAACGGCCCACCAAGGCAUCGAUCAGUAGGGGUUCUGAGAGGAAGGUCCCCCACAUAGGAACUGAGACACGGUCCUA
Molecule: ribosomal RNA, 324 nt
Filed under: uncultured bacterium
Lineage: Bacteria
Description: bacterial SSU rRNA
Rfam family: Bacterial small subunit ribosomal RNA
Source: RNAcentral